This 554-nucleotide small RNA is filed under the name Pongo abelii (Sumatran orangutan). RNAcentral describes it as "retained intron". Lineage: Eukaryota; Metazoa; Chordata; Mammalia; Primates; Hominidae. The record is from RNAcentral.
UAAUGCUAUCUUAGUACUGUAAUUUACCUUUAACUUAAAUGUUUUGGAACAUAUAACUUGAGGGGUUUGCCUAUGAAUUUUAUCUGACAGUUUCAUCCUCAACUCUUUUUCCUAAACAAAUCCACCUUAUUUCUGUAAUCAUGUGCUUAAAAGGUGUUUCUCUUUCUUUAGAUGAGGAUGAUUCAUGUUCAUUGCUAACAAAGGAGAGCAGCCACAAUAGCAGCUUUGAGCUGAUUGGCUCCACGAUUCCAUCCUAUCAGCCUUGCAACAGACAAACAGGCCGUGGGACCAGUUUUUUCCCUACAGCAGGAGGAUUCAGAUCUCCUUCCCCUGGGCUAUUUCGAGCCAGUUUGGUCAGCUCAGCUUCUAAGAGUUCAGGGAAACUGUCUGAGCCUUCACUUCCCAUAGAGGAUUCCCAGGAUCUGUAUAACGCCUCCCCAGAGCCUAAGACACUUUUCCUAGGAGCAGGAGACUUCCAGUUCUGUUUAGAAGAUGACACUCAGAGCCAACUGUUGGAUGCAGAUGGGUUCUUAAAUGUUAGAAACCACAGGAAU